RNAcentral lists this ribosomal RNA (433 nucleotides) under uncultured bacterium. RNAcentral's name for it is "partial 16S ribosomal RNA". It matches the Rfam family "Bacterial small subunit ribosomal RNA", at positions 29 to 507 of the family's 1533-position model. The record is from RNAcentral.
AACGAACGCUGGCGGCAUGCCUAACACAUGCAAGUCGAACGAGACCUUCGGGUCUAGUGGCGCACGGGUGCGUAACGCGUGGGAACCUGCCCUUAGGUUCGGAAUAACUCCCCGAAAGGGGUGCUAAUACCGGAUAAUGUCCUCGGACCAAAGAUUUAUCGCCUUUGGAUGGGCCCGCGUUGGAUUAGCUAGUUGGUAGGGUAAAAGCCUACCAAGGCGACGAUCCAUAGCUGGUUUGAGAGGAUGAUCAGCCACACUGGGACUGAGACACGGCCCAGACUCCUACGGGAGGCAGCAGUGGGGAAUAUUGGACAAUGGGCGAAAGGCUGAUCCAGCAAUGCCGCGUGAGUGAUGAAGGCCUUAGGGUUGUAAAGCUCUUUUACCCGGGAUGAUAAUGACAGUACCGGGAGAAUAAGCUCCGGCUAACUCCGUG